GGAUGAACGCUAGCGGCAGGCCUAACACAUGCAAGUCGAGGGGUAACAUGGUAGCUUGCUACCGAUGACGACCGGCGCACGGGUGCGCACCGCGUAUGGAACCUGCCUUUUACAGGGGAAUAGCCUUUGGAAACGAAGAUUAAUGCCCCAUAGUACCGUUUUGCAGCAUUGCUUUACGGUUAAAGCCUUCGGGCGGUAAAAGAUGGCCAUGCGUCCCAUUAGCUAGUUGGUAAGGUAACGGCUUACCAAGGCUACGAUGGGUAGGGGCCCUGAAAGGGGGAUCCCCCACACUGGUACUGAAACACGGACCAGACUCCUACGGGAGGCAGCAGUGAGGAAUAUUGGACAAUGGAGGAGACUCUGAUCCAGCCAUGCCGCGUGCAGGAAGAAUGCCCUAUGGGUAUUAAACUGCUUUUAUACGGGAAGAAAAAUAGCUACUUGUAGCUUACUGACGGUACCGUAAGAAUAAGGACCGGCUAACUCCGUGCCAGCAGCCGCGGUAAUACGGAGGGUCCCAACGUUAUCCGGAAUUAUUGGGUUUAAAGGGUCCGU
RNAcentral lists this ribosomal RNA (552 nucleotides) under Cytophaga sp. MS6. Its description in RNAcentral is "bacterial SSU rRNA". It matches the Rfam family "Bacterial small subunit ribosomal RNA", at positions 27 to 572 of the family's 1533-position model. The record is from RNAcentral. Lineage: Bacteria; Pseudomonadati; Bacteroidota; Cytophagia; Cytophagales; Cytophagaceae.